This 263-nucleotide long non-coding RNA is filed under the name Carica papaya (papaya). Its description in RNAcentral is "long non-coding RNA (CPAP_LNC002945)". Lineage: Eukaryota; Viridiplantae; Streptophyta; Magnoliopsida; Brassicales; Caricaceae. The record is from RNAcentral.
AGGAAACCUGCAGUGGCACCGCUGGACUUUAGUGGUGUUUUUCGGCCAAUCAGCCGGUGGUCUGGCUCUGAUUUGGCCAAAGGGAGCUUCAGCAUCGAAAAAUGAGACAAGGGGAGAAAUUUUACCUCAUUUGGUGGCCGAAAAAUCCUCCAGUGCGGCGGCGGGUGGCGAAGGCCGGUUUCUCCGGUGGCUGGGUCGUCUUCUCCAGCGAGGGUUCUGGCGGCUAGGGUUUGGGGUUGGGUGUGGAUGCGAUUAUUUAUAAC